RNAcentral lists this ribosomal RNA (681 nucleotides) under uncultured ciliate. RNAcentral's name for it is "SSU rRNA". It matches the Rfam family "Eukaryotic small subunit ribosomal RNA", at positions 323 to 1031 of the family's 1831-position model. The record is from RNAcentral. Lineage: Eukaryota; Ciliophora.
CUUGAUGGUAGUGUAUUGGACUACCAUGAGGAUUACGGGUACGAGGAAUUAGGGUUUGAUAUCGGAGAGGGAGCCUGAGAAACGGCUACCACUUCUAAGGAAGGCAGCAGGCGCGUAAAUUACCCAAUCCCAACUCGGGGAGGUAGUGACAAGAAAUAAUAACUCGGAUAGUUCUACUAUUACGAGAUUAAAAUGAGAACAAUUUAAAAAUCUUAACGAGGAACAAAAUGAGGGCAAGUCUGGUGCCAGCAGCCGCGGUAAUUCCAGCUCAUUUAGUGUAUAUUAAAGUUGUUGCAGUUAAAAAGCUCGUAGUCGAUCAUCUAGUGCUUGCCGUCGUGGCUUCGGUCAUUGCGCGCGGGUGCUAUCUGCUCGAGAACUUCAUCUAACUUCACUGUUCGAUGUUGCUGAUCGGGCACUUUCCUGAGAAAAAAAUUAGAGUGUUCAAAGCAGGCUAAUGCCUUGAAUAUUACAGCUUGGAAUAAUAGAAUAAGACUGAAGUCUCUUUUGUUGGUUAUGAACUUUAGUAAUGGUUAAUAGAAACCGGCGGGGGCAUUAGUAUUUAAUUGUCAGAGGUGAAAUUCUAUGAUUUAUUAAAGACUAACUUAUGCGAAAGCAUUUGCCSAGGAUGUUUUCRAAUUGACVAGAACGAAAGUUAGGGGUCVRAAGACGUCSGAUCCGUCC